Molecule: ribosomal RNA, 253 nt
Filed under: uncultured bacterium
Lineage: Bacteria
Description: partial 16S ribosomal RNA
Rfam family: Bacterial small subunit ribosomal RNA
Source: RNAcentral
AACGUAGGAGACAAACGUUAUCCGGAGUUACUGGGCGUAAAGCGCGCGCAGGCGGUUCUUUAAGUCUGAUGUGAAAGCCCACGGCUCAACCGUGGAGGGUCAUUGGAAACUGGAGAACUUGAGUACAGAAGAGGAAAGCGGAAUUCCACGUGUAGCGGUGAAAUGCGUAGAGAUGUGGAGGAACACCAGUGGCGAAGGCGGCUUUCUGGUCUGUAACUGACGCUGAGGCGCGAAAGCGUGGGGAGCAAACAGG